This 859-nucleotide ribosomal RNA is filed under the name Pseudomonas azotoformans. Its description in RNAcentral is "bacterial SSU rRNA". It matches the Rfam family "Bacterial small subunit ribosomal RNA", at positions 82 to 936 of the family's 1533-position model. The record is from RNAcentral. Lineage: Bacteria; Pseudomonadati; Pseudomonadota; Gammaproteobacteria; Pseudomonadales; Pseudomonadaceae.
GCUUCUCUUGAGAGCGGCGGACGGGUGAGUAAUGCCUAGGAAUCUGCCUGGUAGUGGGGGAUAACGUUCGGAAACGGACGCUAAUACCGCAUACGUCCUACGGGAGAAAGCAGGGGACCUUCGGGCCUUGCGCUAUCAGAUGAGCCUAGGUCGGAUUAGCUAGUUGGUGAGGUAAUGGCUCACCAAGGCGACGAUCCGUAACUGGUCUGAGAGGAUGAUCAGUCACACUGGAACUGAGACACGGUCCAGACUCCUACGGGAGGCAGCAGUGGGGAAUAUUGGACAAUGGGCGAAAGCCUGAUCCAGCCAUGCCGCGUGUGUGAAGAAGGUCUUCGGAUUGUAAAGCACUUUAAGUUGGGAGGAAGGGUUGUAGAUUAAUACUCUGCAAUUUUGACGUUACCGACAGAAUAAGCACCGGCUAACUCUGUGCCAGCAGCCGCGGUAAUACAGAGGGUGCAAGCGUUAAUCGGAAUUACUGGGCGUAAAGCGCGCGUAGGUGGUUUGUUAAGUUGGAUGUGAAAUCCCCGGGCUCAACCUGGGAACUGCAUUCAAAACUGACUGACUAGAGUAUGGUAGAGGGUGGGUGGAAUUUCCUGUGUAGCGGUGAAAUGCGUAGAUAUAGGAAGGAACACCAGUGGCGAAGGCGACCACCUGGACUAAUACUGACACUGAGGUGCGAAAGCGUGGGGAGCAAACAGGAUUAGAUACCCUGGUAGUCCACGCCGUAAACGAUGUCAACUAGCCGUUGGAAGCCUUGAGCUUUUAGUGGCGCAGCUAACGCAUUAAGUUGACCGCCUGGGGAGUACGGCCGCAAGGUUAAAACUCAAAUGAAUUGACGGGGGCCCGCACAAGCGGUGGA